RNAcentral lists this unclassified non-coding RNA (357 nucleotides) under uncultured fungus. RNAcentral's name for it is "partial contains 5.8S ribosomal RNA, internal transcribed spacer 2, and large subunit ribosomal RNA". Lineage: Eukaryota; Fungi. The record is from RNAcentral.
AACGCACAUUGCGCUCUCUGGUAGUCCGGAGAGCAUGCCCGUUUCAGUAUCAUUAAAACGUUCUCACACGUUGCUGGGUUUCCGUCAACGCGUGGAGAUUGGAUGAUUUGAACAGAGGCGCCUUUUUGGCAACGCUGUGGUCAAUCAUCUAGAAUCCAUGGUACAUGUGCUUGCUUUUGCUUGCCUGCCCUCUCCAGUGCAACAGAUUCAUUUGUUCUCACUGAUCGAGUAGCAGUUGCAGCGGGAUCAGGCGUUCUCCAUGUGCACCUUUGCUGUCAAAGGCACUUUAAGACUGAGGCAUUUGCUUCAGCUCUGAACCAUGGUCUGAAAUCGGGCAAGAAAACCCGCUGAACUUAA